UCGGGUUGUAAAGCACUUUUGUCCGGAAAGAAAACUUCUGCCCUAAUACGGCGGGAGGAUGACGGUACCGGAAGAAUAAGCACCGGCUAACUACGUGCCAGCAGCGCGGUAAUCGUAGGGUGCGAGCGUUAAUCGGAAUUACUGGGCGUAAAGCGUGCGCAGGCGGUUCGUUAAGACAGAUGUGAAAUCCCCGGGCUUAACCUGGGGACUGCAUUUGUGACUGGCGAGCUAGAGUAUGGCAGAGGGGGGUAGAAUUCCACGUGUAGCAGUGAAAUGCGUAGAGAUGUGGAGGAAUACCGAUGGCGAAGGCAGCCCCCUGGGCCAAUACUGACGCUCAUGCACGAAAGCGUGGGGAGCAAACAGGAUUAGAUACCCUGGUAGUCCACGCCCUAAACGAUGUCAACUAGUUGUUGGGGAUUCAUUUCCUUAGUAACGUAGCUAACGCGUGAAGUUGACCGCCUGGGGAGUACGGUCGCAAGAUUAAAACUCAAAGGAAUUGACGGGGACCCGCACAAGCGGUGGAUGAUGUGGAUUAAUUCGAUGCAACGCGAAAAACCUUACCUACCCUUGACAUGGUCGGAACCCUGCUG
This 590-nucleotide ribosomal RNA is filed under the name uncultured Burkholderia sp. RNAcentral's name for it is "bacterial SSU rRNA". It matches the Rfam family "Bacterial small subunit ribosomal RNA", at positions 418 to 1003 of the family's 1533-position model. The record is from RNAcentral. Lineage: Bacteria; Pseudomonadati; Pseudomonadota; Betaproteobacteria; Burkholderiales; Burkholderiaceae.